RNAcentral lists this ribosomal RNA (1336 nucleotides) under uncultured bacterium. Its description in RNAcentral is "16S ribosomal RNA". It matches the Rfam family "Bacterial small subunit ribosomal RNA", at positions 1 to 1359 of the family's 1533-position model. The record is from RNAcentral.
UUCGCCCUUAGAGUUUGAUCCUGGCUCAGGACGAACGCUGGCGGCAUGCCUAACACAUGCAAGUCGAACGAAAGUAGCAAUACUUUAGUGGCGAACGGGUGAGUAACUCGUGAGCAACCUACCUUAUACACAGGGAUAACAUUGGGAAACUGAUGCUAAUACCUGAUAAGACCACACUAGGGCAUCCUAGAGGGGUCAAAGUGAUGGCAGUAUAAGAUGGGCUCGCGUCCAAUUAGCUAGUUGGUGAGGUAAUGGCCCACCAAGGCGACGAUUGGUAGCCGGCCUGAGAGGGUGAUCGGCCACACUGGAACUGAGACACGGUCCAGACUCCUACGGGAGGCAGCAGUGGAGAAUAUUGGGCAAUGGAGGAAACUCUUACCCAGCAAUGCCGCGUGAGUGAACAAGAAGGUCUUCGGAUUGUAAAACUCUUUGAUUAGGGAAGAUAAUGACGUGUACCUAAGGAACAAGCCCCAGCUAACUAUGUGCCAGCAGCCGCGGUAAUACAUAGGGGGCAAGCGUUGUCCGGAAUGACUGGGCGUAAAGGGUGCGUAGGUGGUUGUUUAAGUUGGAAGUGUAAUACCCGGGCUUAACUUGGGUGCUGCUUCCAAAACUGAAUAGCUUGAGUAUCGGAGGGGAAAGCGGAAUUCCUAGUGUAGCGGUGGAAUGCGUAGAUAUUAGGAGGAACACCAGUGGCGAAAGCGGCUUUCUGGAAGAUAACUGACGCUGAGGCACGAAAGCGUGGGGAGCAAACAGGAUAAGAUACCCUGGUAGUCCACGCUGUAAACGAUGGAUACUGGGUGUAGGGGGUAUCGACUCCCCCUGUACUGUAGCAAACGCAAUAAGUAUCCCGCGAGAGUAGUACGGUCGCAGGGCUGAAAGUCAAAGAAAUUUACGGGGACCCGCACAAGCAGCGGAGCAUGUGGUUUAAUUCGAAGCAACGCGAAGAACCUUGCCAAGAAAUUGACAUCUAUAUGAAAGCAAUAGAGAUAUUGCCCCUUUUCGGAGCAUAUAGACAGGUGGUGCACGGUUGUCGUCAGCUCGUGUCGUGAGAUGUUUGGUUAAGUCCAGCAACGAGCGCAACCCCUAUUAAUAAUUGCCAAUAUUUAGUUAGGAACUCUAUUAAGACUGCCGUAAAAAAUACGGAGGAAGGUGGGGAUGACGUCAAAUCAUCAUGCCCCUUAUGUCUUGGGCUGCACACGUGCUACAAUGGCUAUUACAAAGAGCAGCGAGAUGGUAACAUUAAGCAGAUCUCAUAAAAAUAGUCUCAGUUCGGAUUGUGGGCUGCAACUCGCCCACAUGAAGUCGGAGUUGCUAGUAAUCCCGAAUCAGAAUGUCG